RNAcentral lists this ribosomal RNA (260 nucleotides) under uncultured bacterium. RNAcentral's name for it is "partial 16S ribosomal RNA". It matches the Rfam family "Bacterial small subunit ribosomal RNA", at positions 524 to 783 of the family's 1533-position model. The record is from RNAcentral.
UACAGAGGGUGCGAGCGUUAAUCGGAAUUACUGGGCGUAAAGCGCGCGUAGGCGGCUUUGCAAGUCGGGUGUGAAAUCCCCAGGCUUAACCUGGGAACUGCAUUCGAGACUGCAUUGCUAGAGUAUGGGAGAGGGAAGUGGAAUUUCCGGUGUAGCGGUGAAAUGCGUAGAUAUCGGAAGGAACAUCAGUGGCGAAAGCGACUUCCUGGACCAAUACUGACGCUCAUGUGCGAAAGCGUGGGGAGCAAACAGGAUUAGAU